Molecule: ribosomal RNA, 254 nt
Filed under: uncultured bacterium
Lineage: Bacteria
Description: partial 16S ribosomal RNA
Rfam family: Bacterial small subunit ribosomal RNA
Source: RNAcentral
UACGGGGGGAGCAAGCGUUGUUCGGAUUUACUGGGCGUAAAGGGCGCGUAUGCGGCCACCGCAAGUCGACUGUGAAAUCUCCGGGCUUAACUCGGAAAGGUCAGCCGAUACUGCGGGGCUAGAGUGCAGAAGGGGCAACUGGAAUUCUCGGUGUAGCGGUGAAAUGCGUAGAUAUCGAGAGGAACACCUGCGGCGAAGGCGGGUUGCUGGGCUGACACUGACGCUGAGGCGCGAAAGCUAGGGGAGCGAACGGG